GACAGAGGUGCCGAGCGUUAGGCGGAAUCACUGGGCUUAAAGCGUGUGUAGGCGGAUCGUUAAGUGCCUUGUGAAAUCCCACGGCUCAACCGUGGAACUGCUUGGCAUACUGGCGGUCUUGAGCAACCUAGGGGCGAGCGGAACAAAUGGUGGAGCGGUGAAAUGCGUAGAUAUCAGUUGGAACGCCAAUGGUGAAAACAGCUCGCUGGGGGUUUGCUGACGCUGAGACACGAAAGCCAGGGGAGCAAACGGG
Molecule: ribosomal RNA, 253 nt
Filed under: uncultured bacterium
Lineage: Bacteria
Description: partial 16S ribosomal RNA
Rfam family: Bacterial small subunit ribosomal RNA
Source: RNAcentral